RNAcentral lists this ribosomal RNA (400 nucleotides) under uncultured bacterium. Its description in RNAcentral is "bacterial SSU rRNA". It matches the Rfam family "Bacterial small subunit ribosomal RNA", at positions 356 to 773 of the family's 1533-position model. The record is from RNAcentral.
AGGGAAUUUUGCGCAAUGGGCGAAAGCCUGACGCAGCGACGCCGCGUGAGGGAAGAAUGCCUUCGGGUUGUAAACCUCUGUCCAUGGGGAAGAUGAUGACGGUACCCGUGGAGGAAGCCCCGGCUAACUACGUGCCAGCAGCCGCGGUAAUACGUAGGGGGCGAGCGUUGUCCGGAAUUAUUGGGCGUAAAGGGUGCGUAGGCGGCAUUUUAAGUCACAUGUGAAACUCCUCGGCUCAACCGGGGACUUGCAUGUGAAACUAGAAUGCUUGAGUUCAGGAGAGGAGAACGGAAUUCCUGGUGUAGCGGUGAAAUGCGUAGAUAUCAGGAGGAACACCAGUGGCGAAGGCGGUUCUCUGGACUGCAACUGACGCUGAGGCACGAAAGCUGGGGUAGCGAAC